GACGAACGCUGGCGGCGUGCUUAACACAUGCAAGUCGAACGGAAAGGCCCUGCUUUUGUGGGGUGCUCGAGUGGCGAACGGGUGAGUAACACGUGAGUAACCUGCCCUUGACUUUGGGAUAACUUCAGGAAACUGGGGCUAAUACCGGAUAGGAGCUCCUGCUGCAUGGUGGGGGUUGGAAAGUUUCGGCGGUUGGGGAUGGACCCGCGGCUUAUCAGCUUGUUGGUGGGGUAGUGGCUUACCAAGGCUUUGACGGGUAGCCGGCCUGAGAGGGUGACCGGCCACCUUGGGACUGAGAUACGGCCCAGACUCCUACGGGAGGCAGCAGUGGGGAAUAUUGCACAAUGGGCGGAAGCCUGAUGCAGCAACGCCGCGUGCGGGAUGCCGGCCUUCGGGUUGUAAACCGCUUUCGCCUGUGACGAAGCGUGAGUGACGGUAAUGGGUAAAGAAGCACCGGCUAACUACGUG
Molecule: ribosomal RNA, 468 nt
Filed under: uncultured bacterium
Lineage: Bacteria
Description: partial 16S ribosomal RNA
Rfam family: Bacterial small subunit ribosomal RNA
Source: RNAcentral